Molecule: ribosomal RNA, 250 nt
Filed under: uncultured bacterium
Lineage: Bacteria
Description: partial 16S ribosomal RNA
Rfam family: Bacterial small subunit ribosomal RNA
Source: RNAcentral
UACGUAGGGGGCAAGCGUUAUCCGGAAUCACUGGGCGUAAAGGGUGCGUAGGCGGCCUGACAAGUCAGAGGUGAAAGGCUACGGCUUAACCUGGGCGCUGCCAUUGAAACUGUUGGGCUUGAGUGCAGGAGAGGUAAGUGGAAUUCCUAGUGUAGCGGUGAAAUGCGUAGAUAUUAGGAGGAACACCAGUGGCGAAGGCGACUUACUGGACUGUAACUGACGCUGAGGCACGAAAGCGUGGGGAGCAAAC